Alligator mississippiensis (American alligator) is the source of this 1407-nucleotide non-coding RNA. NCBI's taxonomy places the organism in Eukaryota, Metazoa, Chordata, Crocodylia, Alligatoridae. The record is from the annotation of a RefSeq genome assembly.
CUCUCUCCUGCAAGGGACGGCAAACUCCUCGCCAUGCUGUGGGCUCCCCUCCUUGUCCUGCUGGGGACGUGGUGCACAGGUGCCAGCUCACAGCCUGCGCUCACCCAGCCGCCCGCAGAGUCAGUGUCCCCAGGAAACACUGUGAAACUCUCCUGCACCAUGAGCAGUGGGACCAGCAUCAGUGGCUACAGUGUGUACUGGUACCAGCAGAAACCUGGGACCCCCACUCGGUACCUGCUGAGAUACAAGUCCAAUUCUGACAAGCACCAGGGCUCCGGGGUCCCCGCUCGCUUCUCUGGCUCCAAAGACACGUCCAGUAACACCGGCUACCUGACUAUCACUGGGGUCCUCGCAGAGGACGAGGCUGACUAUUACUGUACUGUGUGGCACAGUGAUGCUUGUCACAGUGACACAGCCACAGGGGAAGUGAGACAAAAACCUCCUCUGCCCUCCCUCAGCCGGGGCUCUGUGGGAGCCAGCAAGGAGCCGUACCAAGGGCAGCAAUCACUUGUGCAAACGUGGUGAAAUGUAACAUCUCCCUCUGUGGGGGAAAACUGGUGGCCUACCAACUGCUCUCUCCGGGAAGAGGUAGCCAGCUCUCCCCUUCCACCCCCCACCCCUCCAAGCCCCCACUGAGUCCCUCUGCUCCCUGCUCUUCCCCCUAGCUCAUCCUCUGCCCUUUCAUGAACAGAUGGAAAAUACGACCCAUCCUGGCUCCCAUCUCACCUACCCCCCACCCCCAUGGUGAAAAAUGGGGCUUUUCUAUUUCUUUUCCACAUUAUAUUAGAUGCUAUAGGCAGACCCUCUGACAUCUUUGGGUUUCAACUCUGGUAACAUGGCUAUGCUGCCCAUCACUGGAGUCCAAGCCCAGGAUGAAGCUGUUCAUUACUGCCAAGUGUGGGACAGCAGCACUUUCCACAGUGCUACAGUGCAACGGGGAAGGGAAAUACAACCCUCCUGCUGCCAAAGGCCACACUUACUAUUUAUAUUUACUCUGGUCUGAGAGCCAGGCCUUCAGCUACUUCACUAAACUGAGGGCCAGGUCCAGGCUCAGCAGAUACUGGCAGAGCUGUCCUGAAGUCGGUGAAACUACAUCAUGCAGAGAUCUCAAUAUUUCUCUUCCAAAAACUGAGCACCUCCCAUCCUACUAGGGUUUCACCAAGAAACCAGCAGUGCAUUUCACUUGCUCAUGCUUCUCAUAUGGUCUCCAGAGAAAACAGAAAUAUCCUUAGCCCAGAGUUCAGAGUCCUCCCAUCUUUUCCCUUCCAGUCUUAGCAGUGUCUACAUCAAAGGGAUCAAUGAUUGCAAGCCCCCUACUCCAUAGUGCAGCUCAGCUGUGGCGUUGUCCUUAAUGACCCAGUAACCUACAAGCUUUGUACUCUCUGCUUAGCUUCUCCUCUGCUCUUU